RNAcentral lists this ribosomal RNA (465 nucleotides) under uncultured bacterium. Its description in RNAcentral is "partial 16S ribosomal RNA". It matches the Rfam family "Bacterial small subunit ribosomal RNA", at positions 28 to 507 of the family's 1533-position model. The record is from RNAcentral.
GACGAACGCUGGCGGCGUGCUUAACACAUGCAAGUCGAACGGAAAGGCCCCUUCGGGGGUACUCGAGUGGCGAACGGGUGAGUAACACGUGAGUAACCUGCCCUUGACUUCGGGAUAACUUCAGGAAACUGGGGCUAAUACCGGAUAGGAAUCCUUGCUGCAUGGUGGGGGUUGGAAAGCUUCGGCGGUUUUGGAUGGACUCGCGGCUUAUCAGCUUGUUGGUGGGGUAGUGGCUUACCAAGGCUUUGACGGGUAGCCGGCCUGAGAGGGCGACCGGCCACAUUGGGACUGAGAUACGGCCCAGACUCCUACGGGAGGCAGCAGUGGGGAAUAUUGCACAAUGGGCGGAUGCCUGAUGCAGCAACGCCGCGUGCGGGAUGACGGCCUUCGGGUUGUAAACCGCUUUCAGCAGGGGCGAAGCUUGUGGUGACGGUGCCUGCAGAAGAAGCACCGGCUAACUACGUG